CUAAACGCCAACGGUUUUUCUGCCAAAUAGAAAGACUUCCAUUAUAUAAAUUCCCCACAUCCACGUGUCCGUCUCACCAGUCAACCCCACCAUCAUUUUCUCACCAUUCCUCCACGUGUCAUCCAUCUACACAACCAAUAAAACGCAUCGUUUUGAGUCAUCUUCCUCCUAUAAAUACUCACUAAAAUCAAAACCCUCUCCCCCUAUCUCUGCUAUUUCAAAACCAAAAAAAAAAAAAUUCUAGAUUCUGUUUGUUUCUCGAGAAAAUUAAAGAAAAAAUGACAGUGAAACCGAUUCAAGAAACGCAAUCUCAUCUCGAGAUUCAAGAAAAAUCAGCGGAGAUCAUAGCUAAUGAAAAAUCUUUAGAGAAUUAUAAGUGGAGAUCGAGGAGAUGGUCGACUGGGGAUUAUAAUCCAAUCAAAAAAUUAGGGAUUGUUCAUAGCCAAGUAUUGAGGAUUAGAGAGGAAGAUUUACAUCUUGGUGAAGAUUUAAUUAACGGAUUAUUGAGUACUGCCGUCGCUAAAGAUACCCAACAGCGACAACAGCUGGCUUCGGCCCUUGAUUUGGUGUUUUUAGCGUCAAGAUCGCCUAAUUUGCCGUCUUCUCCUCUUAGCGGCAACAAAACCACCGUCGUUAAAAGUUUAGCCUUAAAAGAAUGAAUUAAAGGAAGAUGAGACAUGGAACUAGCUUAGAAGAUGCAAAAGAAAGAAUGAUGUGAAAAUUUGAGAUAGUUUUAGAAGUUUGGGUGAUAUGGGUUUUUAACCUGGUUAGAUGUUUGGGUGAAAUGGGUUUCUAACCUGGUUAGAUGUUUGGGUGAAAUGGGUUUUUAACCUGGUUAGAUGUUUGGGUGAAAUGAGUUUUUACCUGGUUAGAUGGUUUGGGUAAAAUGGGGUUUUUACCUUCUUUCUUAGAAGACAUUAGGAUUGGUAAUUGGUAAGCUAGUGAGUUGUAGUAGUAGUGAGAUAAUUUUGUCUUUUUUUACCUUCUCUUAAUGUACAGUGAAGAAAGUUACCACUAGUUUAAAAAUAUGUGAUUAAGUCUCUUGUUUUCUAAA
This is a long non-coding RNA of Mercurialis annua (annual mercury), 1054 nucleotides long. RefSeq lists it as uncharacterized. The transcript is spliced from 2 exons. The record is from RefSeq and is a predicted model, not a curated record. Lineage: Eukaryota; Viridiplantae; Streptophyta; Magnoliopsida; Malpighiales; Euphorbiaceae.